CGAAGGGAACUGAAUGAGGACAAGCUGGAGAAGCUGGAGGAGCUAACAAUGGAUGGGGCCAAGGCUAAGGCUAUUCUGGAUGCCUCACGGUCCUCCAUGGGUCAGUGCAGAGCCUGGCAGCCUGCAUAAGGUAUGGGGCUCUAAAUAUCUGGCGUCUUGCAUUCACACUUGGUUUUUCCUAGGCAUGGACAUAUCUGCCAUUGACUUGAUAAACAUCGAGAGCUUCUCCAGUCGUGUGGUGUCUUUAUCUGAAUACCGCCAGAGCCUACACACUUACCUGCGCUCCAAGAUGAGCCAAGUAGCCCCCAGCCUGUCAGCCCUAAUUGGGGAAGCGGUGCGUCACAGGGGAUACAAAAAUGGGAGAAUAAGGACUGUUGCCAUGUGUACCUGCACUGUAUUUCGUGACCCACCAUGUCUUCCCUAGUUGUGCUUGGUGGGGAGCAGGGCUGUCAUGCAACUGGCAGGUUAGCAGUUUAUUUCUCUGACUGUUUCCUUGACUCUCUCUCCAGGUAGGUGCACGUCUCAUCGCACAUGCUGGCAGCCUCACCAACCUGGCCAAGUAUCCAGCAUCCACAGUGCAGAUCCUUGGGGCUGAAAAGGCCCUGUUCAGGUACCAGUGAGGGCACCUGCCCACAAUCAGGUGCCACUUCUGGUGCCCACUGCUUGUUGGGGGAUCACGGUGAUGGCUGACCAGGGCUCCCUGACCUAUACAGGCCUCUGCUAUGGGGGUGAUGGCCAGUCCUGGUGUCUGAGUGAUUCCCAGGGCCCAGCAAAGGGACCAAGUCUCCAGGUCAGCGACAUUGGAUGCCUUCCCUCUGCCUCUGGGAGCUAUGGGUUGGCAUGCAUUGGGGUAGAGAUCCAAUCUGGCCUGAGGCUCACUCAGGACUUCGGGGUGAGAGGAGGGGAGGAGCUGAGCUGCCUUGGCUAAUGGGGUUGAAAUUUCUGAUCUUAAACUCUCCACUGAAUAUUCUCUCAGAGCCCUGAAGACAAGGGGUAACACUCCAAAAUAUGGACUCAUUUUCCACUCCACCUUCAUUGGCCGAGCAGCUGCCAAGAACAAAGGCCGCAUCUCCCGAUACCUGGCAAACAAAUGCAGUAUUGCCUCACGAAUCGAUUGCUUCUCUGGUAUGGGUGGGGGGUGCUGGCAGGUGUGAGAAGGGGCUGGGUGGCUGGGUGGAUGGGUGGGGAGGCUUGCAACCAUAGCUUCCACAAUGAUGGCAAUAUUUUUCGUCAACAGCAGUUCACCUAGUGAGUGUUGAGACUAUGGGUCUGAGUGAAGCUGAGGGUAGAGGGAACACAGGGUUGGAGUAGUUUGUCUCUUUGGGCUGACAGGCUUUGUCACCCACACACACAUCCAGAGGUGCCCACGAGUGUAUUUGGCGAGAAGCUUCGAGAACAAGUUGAAGAGCGACUGUCCUUCUAUGAGACUGGAGAGAUACCACGAAAGAAUCUGGAUGUCAUGAAGGAAGCAAUGGUUCAGGUCAGUUGGGCUUUGCUGGGUGUGGAGUGGCAUAGCUAGCUGUUGGAGGUGAUGAACUGUCUGAGCCUGACCUUGUAGAAUGGAGGCAAAAAAACUGAUUUAAUGAGCCUGAUCCAAUAAAGCCAGAAAGGAGUCCUCAGAGCACCAGAGGUCUUCAGGCCCUUUUAGCACUUUUCUUUGACCAGGCAGAGGAAGCGGCUGCUGAGAUUACUAGGAAGCUGGAGAAACAGGAGAAGAAACGCUUAAAGAAGGAAAAGAAACGGCUGGCUGCACUUGCCCUUGCAUCUUCAGAAAACAGCAGUAGUACUCCAGAGGAGUGUGAGGUCAGUAGGCAGCACGGCUCCGGCAGAGAUCCUAGGUUGUAGGAUUUUCAACAGCAGAACAAAGGAUGUGCUGCAUAAGCUGUGGUCUUGAGUCCAGGCUCUUGGACUGAAACAAGGACCUGAAACAUCUAAAACUACCUCUUGAUUCUAUAGGAAGGAGAUAGGUGCUGAACUUGCUCAAGAGCCCAGAGAGCUGGUUGUAGCUCACACCCAUUCCCUGGGCAUGUGUGUUCUGUCCUCGGCUGCCUCCCAGGAGUCCUCAACCUGGGGUAGUGUAAAUUCCUGCUCUGCUUAUUAUCAGACGUGUGUCCGGAGGUGGUAGUGUUUCACAGUGGGGAUGGGGGCAGGGAGGUCCCCAAUGUGCUAAGCUACGUUAUCCCUGAGAUUUUCAUUUAGCACCCAGUUUCUUAAACAGUGUUUCAGGGCCCUGCCUGGAACUUGGCAUGAUGGUUCUGUUGCGACCAACAUAGUGGGUGUUUCUUAAGGUUUUUUUUUUCAAUGGGCUGAGGUAAUUUCUCAUUACAUGUUUUCCUUCUAAUUUGGGACGGCCUUUGGGGUGGAUUUCUAAAGUUAUACCCACACAAUUAAACUAUCCCAGAAACACUGGGCAAUGUUAACUACACAGGUUCCCCUGCCUUGGCUACUUAAUUGCUGAAGAUGUAAUGAGCACUGUUCUCACAGCCUGUUCCCCUGUCCUUCCCUUUAGGAGACGAGUGAAAAACCCAAAAAGAAGAAAAAGCAAAAGCCCCAGGAGGUUCCUCAGGAGAAUGGAAUGGAAGACCCAUCUAUCUCUUUUUCCAAACCCAAGAAAAAGAAAUCUUUUUCCAAGGAGGAGUUGAUGAGUAGCGAUCCUGAAGAGACCGCUGGCAGCACCAGUAUUCCCAAGAAAAAGAAGUCUUCACCCAAGGAGGAAACAGUUAAUGACCCUGAAGAGGCAGGCCACAGAAGUGGCUCCAAGAAAAAGAGGAAAUUCUCCAAAGAGGAGCCGGUCAGCAGUGGGCCUGAAGAGGCGGCUGGCAAGAGCAGCUCCAAGAAGAAGAAAAAGUUCCAUAAAGCAUCCCAGGAAGAUUAGAAUGCAAAUGGACAUUCUCUGGGAGGUGGGGCAUACCAUAGCCCAAGGUGACAUUUCCCACCCUGUGCCGUGUUCCCCAAUAAAAACAAAUUCACAAA
Molecule: small RNA, 2973 nt
Filed under: Pongo abelii (Sumatran orangutan)
Lineage: Eukaryota; Metazoa; Chordata; Mammalia; Primates; Hominidae
Source: RNAcentral